AUGCACAACGUGGUGCAGGUGGGAGAAGGCGACUACAACUCAUGCAGGGUCUCGGGCCCGUCAAGGACCUACACCUCCGGCAAUGACCACAUCCAGCUUGCCCGCGGAGGCAAAGCGUUCUUCAUCUGCAGCCUUCCGGGUCACUGCCAGCAAGGCAUGAAGAUCGAUGUCACUGCUUAA
Molecule: ribosomal RNA, 180 nt
Filed under: Triticum aestivum (bread wheat)
Lineage: Eukaryota; Viridiplantae; Streptophyta; Magnoliopsida; Poales; Poaceae
Description: partial small subunit ribosomal RNA
Source: RNAcentral